This 521-nucleotide ribosomal RNA is filed under the name Phyllosticta capitalensis. RNAcentral describes it as "eukaryotic LSU rRNA". The stretch from base 161 to 314 matches the Rfam family "5.8S ribosomal RNA". Lineage: Eukaryota; Fungi; Ascomycota; Dothideomycetes; Botryosphaeriales; Phyllostictaceae. The record is from RNAcentral.
UGUGUACUCACUAUGUUGCUUUGGCGGGUCGACCUGGUUCCGACCCAGGCGGCCGGCGCCCCCAGCCUUAACUGGCCAGGACGCCCGGCUAAGUGCCCGCCAGUAUACAAAACUCAAGAAUUCAUUUUGUGAAGUCCUGAUAUAUCAUUUAAUUGAUUAAAACUUUCAACAACGGAUCUCUUGGUUCUGGCAUCGAUGAAGAACGCAGCGAAAUGCGAUAAGUAAUGUGAAUUGCAGAAUUCAGUGAAUCAUCGAAUCUUUGAACGCACAUUGCGCCCUCUGGUAUUCCGGAGGGCAUGCCUGUUCGAGCGUCAUUUCAACCCUCAAGCUCUGCUUGGUAUUGGGCAACGUCCGCUGCCGGACGUGCCUUGAAGACCUCGGCGACGGCGUCCUAGCCUCGAGCGUAGUAGUAAAAUAUCUCGCUUUGGAGUGCUGGGCGACGGCCGCCGGACAAUCGACCUUCGGUCUAUUUUUCCAAGGUUGACCUCGGAUCAGGUAGGGAUACCCGCUGAACUUAAGCA